This 515-nucleotide ribosomal RNA is filed under the name uncultured archaeon. Its description in RNAcentral is "bacterial SSU rRNA". It matches the Rfam family "Archaeal small subunit ribosomal RNA", at positions 345 to 859 of the family's 1478-position model. The record is from RNAcentral.
AACCUUUACACUGCACGACAGUGCGAUAGGGGGACUCCGAGUGCGAGGGCAUAGAGCCCUCGCUUUUGUACACCGUAAGGUGGUGUACGAAUAAGAACUGGGCAAGACCGGUGCCAGCCGCCGCGGUAAUACCGGCAGUUCGAGUGAUGGCCGAUUUUAUUGGGCCUAAAGCGUUCGUAGCUGGCCGAUCAAGUCUGUCGGGAAAUCUGCUCGCCUAACGAGCAGGCGUCCGGCGGAAACUGAUCGGCUUGGGACCGGAAGACUCGAGGGGUACGUCCGGGGUAGGAGUGAAAUCCUGUAAUCCUGGACGGAUCACCGAUGGCGAAAGCACCUCGAGAGCACGGAUCCGACAGUGAGGAACGAAAGCUGGGGUCUCGAACCGGAUUAGAUACCCGGGUAGUCCCAGCUGUCAACGAUGCCCGCUAGGUAUGGCGCAGGCUACGAGCCUGUGCUAUGCCGUAGCGAAGGCGCUAAGCGGGCCGCCUGGGAAGUACGUUCGCAAGAAUGAAACUUAA